UACGGGGGGAGCAAGCGUUGUUCGGAUUUACUGGGCGUAAAGGGCGCGUAGGCGGCCACCGCAAGUCGACUGUGAAAUCUCCGGGCUUAACCCGGAAAGGUCAGCCGAUACUGCGGGGCUAGAGUGCAGAAGGGGCAACUGGAAUUCUCGGUGUAGCGGUGAAAUGCGUAGAUAUCGAGAGGAACACCUGCGGCGAAGGCGGGUGCUGGGCUGACACUGACGCUGAUGUGCGAAAGCUAGGGGAGCGAACGGG
Molecule: ribosomal RNA, 253 nt
Filed under: uncultured bacterium
Lineage: Bacteria
Description: partial 16S ribosomal RNA
Rfam family: Bacterial small subunit ribosomal RNA
Source: RNAcentral